Molecule: transfer RNA, 95 nt
Filed under: Chloroflexota bacterium
Lineage: Bacteria; Bacillati; Chloroflexota
Description: Chloroflexi bacterium tRNA-Ser
Rfam family: tRNA
About the family: Transfer RNA (tRNA) molecules are approximately 80 nucleotides in length. Their secondary structure includes four short double-helical elements and three loops (D, anti-codon, and T loops). Further hydrogen bonds mediate the characteristic L-shaped molecular structure. tRNAs have two regions of fundamental functional importance: the anti-codon, which is responsible for specific mRNA codon recognition, and the 3' end, to which the tRNAs corresponding amino acid is attached (by aminoacyl-tRNA synthetases). tRNAs cope with the degeneracy of the genetic code in two manners: having more than one tRNA (with a specific anti-codon) for a particular amino acid; and 'wobble' base-pairing, i.e. permitting non-standard base-pairing at the 3rd anti-codon position.
Source: RNAcentral
GGGGAGGUCGCAUAGUUGGUCGAGUGCAGAGGUUUGCUAAACCUCCGAACCAGUACUUGCUGGUUCCGCGGGUUCGAAUCCCGCCCUCCCCGCAA